UACGUAGGGGGCUAGCGUUAUCCGGAUUUACUGGGCGUAAAGGGUGCGUAGGCGGUCUUUUAAGUCAGGAGUGAAAGGCUACGGCUCAACCGUAGUAAGCUCUUGAAACUGGAGGACUUGAGUGCAGGAGAGGAGAGUGGAAUUCCUAGUGUAGCGGUGAAAUGCGUAGAUAUUAGGAGGAACACCAGUAGCGAAGGCGGCUCUCUGGACUGUAACUGACGCUGAGGCACGAAAGCGUGGGGAGCAAACAGGAUUAGAUACCCUGGUAGUCCACGCCGUAAACGAUGAGUACUAGGUGUCGGGGGUUACCCCCCUCGGUGCCGCAGCUAACGCAUUAAGUACUCCACCUGGGGAGUACGGCCGCAAGGCUGAA
RNAcentral lists this ribosomal RNA (373 nucleotides) under uncultured bacterium. RNAcentral's name for it is "bacterial SSU rRNA". It matches the Rfam family "Bacterial small subunit ribosomal RNA", at positions 524 to 898 of the family's 1533-position model. The record is from RNAcentral.